RNAcentral lists this small nuclear RNA (104 nucleotides) under Carlito syrichta (Philippine tarsier). Lineage: Eukaryota; Metazoa; Chordata; Mammalia; Primates; Tarsiidae. The record is from RNAcentral.
GCGCUCGCUUUGGCAGCAUGGAUACUAAAAUUGGAACCACGCAGAGAUUGGCAUGGCCCCUGGGCAAGUAUGCCCCGCAAAUUCAGGAGGCUUUUCUGUUUUGG